GGCUGCCCUACUUAAACGUCUAAGCACAGUCUCUCUUGAUGAUGAAGGCUUUGCAGCAGUUAAAGGGCUCUGUUGCAGGAUUGCAACUAAGAUUGCAACCUGAACUUAUUAUCUGAUGCACGUAUGGGCAACAGAUCUCCCAAUAUACAAUUUGAAGUUGUCUGAUGCUUAUUUUCCCACUGCCAAAUUUCUUGUGCUUGGAACAAAGACUAGAACAUUGAUGGUCGGUUCUUGGAAGUUGGAGACAUCAAGUUAUCGCUAACAUGUGCUAUUACCAGGCUGUUCUUUCUCUGGUACUAUAGUCUUUUGUGUGUCUAUUGUGUAGUGCAUUUUAUCCAAUUAGUUGGACUACCUUGCGUUUCAAGAUUGUUCUGUAGCUGG
RNAcentral lists this unclassified non-coding RNA (381 nucleotides) under Hevea brasiliensis (rubber tree). Lineage: Eukaryota; Viridiplantae; Streptophyta; Magnoliopsida; Malpighiales; Euphorbiaceae. The record is from RNAcentral.